RNAcentral lists this ribosomal RNA (406 nucleotides) under uncultured bacterium. RNAcentral describes it as "partial 16S ribosomal RNA". It matches the Rfam family "Bacterial small subunit ribosomal RNA", at positions 30 to 526 of the family's 1533-position model. The record is from RNAcentral.
AUUGAACGCUGGCGGCAGGCCUCACACAUGCAAGUCGAGCGAGCGGCGGACGGGUGAGUAAUGUCUGGGAAACUGCCUGAUGGCGGGGGAUAACUACUGGAAACGGUAGCUAAUACCGCAUACCAUCGGAUGUGCCCAGAUGGGAUUAGCUAGUCGGUGGGGUAACGGCUCACCUCGGCGACGAUCCCUAGCUGGUUUGUGAGGAUGACCAGCCACACUGGAACUGAGAAACGGUCCAGACUCCGACGGGAGGCAGCAGUGGGGAAUAUGGCACAAGGGGCGCAAGCCUGAUGCAGCCAUGCCGCGUGUAUGAAGAAGGCCUUCGGGUUGUAAAGUACUUUCAGCGGGGAGGCGUUACCCGCAGAAGAAGCACCGGCUAACUCCGUGCCAGCAGCCGCGGUAAGUC